Molecule: small nuclear RNA, 159 nt
Organism: Rattus norvegicus (Norway rat)
Lineage: Eukaryota; Metazoa; Chordata; Mammalia; Rodentia; Muridae
Product: U1 spliceosomal RNA
Source: Ensembl
AGCCUGUUUCGGCAGAGGAGGCACCACGAUAGCAAAGGGGGUUUUUCCCAGGGUGAGCCUUAUCCAUGGCAGUCUGGAUGUGCUGACCCCUGUAAUUUCCCCAAAUGCAGGAAACUUCAUAAUUUGAGGUAGUGGGGGACUGUGUUCUAAGUCUACCCA